Molecule: ribosomal RNA, 466 nt
Filed under: uncultured archaeon
Lineage: Archaea
Description: bacterial SSU rRNA
Rfam family: Archaeal small subunit ribosomal RNA
Source: RNAcentral
AGCGCGAUGAGGGAAUCCCAAGUGCUUGCUCGUAAGAGUAAGCUGUUUUUAGGUCUAAAAAGCAUAGAGAGUAAGGGCUGGGUAAGACGGGGGCCAGCCGCCGCGGUAAUACCUGCAGCUCAAGUGGUGAUCAUUAUUAUUGGGCCUAAAACGUCCGUAGCCGGUUUGGUAAAUGCCUGGGUAAAUCGUGUAGCUUAACUAUACGAAUUCCGGGUAGACUGCCAAACUUGGGACCGGGAGAGGCUAGAGGUACUCCUGGGGUAGAGGUGAAAUUCUGUAAUCCUAGGGGGACCACCAGUGGCGAAGGCGUCUAGCUAGAACGGGUCUGACGGUCAGGGACGAAGCCCUGGGGCGCGAACCGGAUUAGAUACCCGGGUAGUCCAGGGUGUAAACGCUGCUUGCUUGAUGUUAGUUGGGCUCCGAGCCCAAUUAGUGUCGGAGAGAAGUUGUUAAGCAAGCUGCCUGG